Molecule: small nuclear RNA, 109 nt
Filed under: Bombyx mandarina (wild silkworm)
Lineage: Eukaryota; Metazoa; Arthropoda; Insecta; Lepidoptera; Bombycidae
Source: RNAcentral
UAAUUUUGUAGAUACUAACUAGUCAACUAAAAUUGGUACGAUACAGAUAAUAUUAGCAUGGUCCCUGCGCAAGGAUGACACGCAAAAUCGUGAGGCGUUCUACAUCUUU